RNAcentral lists this ribosomal RNA (1489 nucleotides) under Lactiplantibacillus plantarum. RNAcentral's name for it is "bacterial SSU rRNA". It matches the Rfam family "Bacterial small subunit ribosomal RNA". Lineage: Bacteria; Bacillati; Bacillota; Bacilli; Lactobacillales; Lactobacillaceae. The record is from RNAcentral.
GACGAACGCUGGCGGCGUGCCUAAUACAUGCAAGUCGAACGAACUCUGGUAUUGAUUGGUGCUUGCAUCAUGAUUUACAUUUGAGUGAGUGGCGAACUGGUGAGUAACACGUGGGAAACCUGCCCAGAAGCGGGGGAUAACACCUGGAAACAGAUGCUAAUACCGCAUAACAACUUGGACCGCAUGGUCCGAGUUUGAAAGAUGGCUUCGGCUAUCACUUUUGGAUGGUCCCGCGGCGUAUUAGCUAGAUGGUGGGGUAACGGCUCACCAUGGCAAUGAUACGUAGCCGACCUGAGAGGGUAAUCGGCCACAUUGGGACUGAGACACGGCCCAAACUCCUACGGGAGGCAGCAGUAGGGAAUCUUCCACAAUGGACGAAAGUCUGAUGGAGCAACGCCGCGUGAGUGAAGAAGGGUUUCGGCUCGUAAAACUCUGUUGUUAAAGAAGAACAUAUCUGAGAGUAACUGUUCAGGUAUUGACGGUAUUUAACCAGAAAGCCACGGCUAACUACGUGCCAGCAGCCGCGGUAAUACGUAGGUGGCAAGCGUUGUCCGGAUUUAUUGGGCGUAAAGCGAGCGCAGGCGGUUUUUUAAGUCUGAUGUGAAAGCCUUCGGCUCAACCGAAGAAGUGCAUCGGAAACUGGGAAACUUGAGUGCAGAAGAGGACAGUGGAACUCCAUGUGUAGCGGUGAAAUGCGUAGAUAUAUGGAAGAACACCAGUGGCGAAGGCGGCUGUCUGGUCUGUAACUGACGCUGAGGCUCGAAAGUAUGGGUAGCAAACAGGAUUAGAUACCCUGGUAGUCCAUACCGUAAACGAUGAAUGCUAAGUGUUGGAGGGUUUCCGCCCUUCAGUGCUGCAGCUAACGCAUUAAGCAUUCCGCCUGGGGAGUACGGCCGCAAGGCUGAAACUCAAAGGAAUUGACGGGGGCCCGCACAAGCGGUGGAGCAUAUGGUUUAAUUCGAAGCUACGCGAAGAACCUUACCAGGUCUUGACAUACUAUGCAAAUCUAAGAGAUUAGACGUUCCCUUCGGGGACAUGGAUACAGGUGGUGCAUGGUUGUCGUCAGCUCGUGUCGUGAGAUGUUGGGUUAAGUCCCGCAACGAGCGCAACCCUUAUUAUCAGUUGCCAGCAUUAAGUUGGGCACUCUGGUGAGACUGCCGGUGACAAACCGGAGGAAGGUGGGGAUGACGUCAAAUCAUCAUGCCCCUUAUGACCUGGGCUACACACGUGCUACAAUGGAUGGUACAACGAGUUGCGAACUCGCGAGAGUAAGCUAAUCUCUUAAAGCCAUUCUCAGUUCGGAUUGUAGGCUGCAACUCGCCUACAUGAAGUCGGAAUCGCUAGUAAUCGCGGAUCAGCAUGCCGCGGUGAAUACGUUCCCGGGCCUUGUACACACCGCCCGUCACACCAUGAGAGUUUGUAACACCCAAAGUCGGUGGGGUAACCUUUUAGGAACCAGCCGCCUAAGGUGGGACAGAUGAUUAGGGUG